Molecule: long non-coding RNA, 3186 nt
Filed under: Microcebus murinus (gray mouse lemur)
Lineage: Eukaryota; Metazoa; Chordata; Mammalia; Primates; Cheirogaleidae
Description: lncRNA (ENSMICG00000048428.1)
Source: RNAcentral
GCUAUUUGGGUUCAAGCAAUAUUUUCAUUUCCUGACCCAACUUCCCUGCACAUAAAAAAUGAAACCCAACAAUCCAGCGGCAUCAGGCACCAGCACAGAGUGAGCAAAAGAGGCAGGCAGCGAGGAGCAAAAGCAGGACCCUGCGGCGCCAGGAGGCCGCAGCAAGUCAGGGGAAGUGGCUCGGUGACAAUUGUGAGCGCCCAGAAAGUUGUCCUGGCCGCAGCCCUUUGCUCCCUCCCGAAGCUGCGGUGGCCGAGGCUGCCUCCUGCUCGGCAGCAUCUCCCUUUGCUAAUGGGAUCUCCAGCCUGUGCUGUUCCCCUUUUUCUCCCCUCUUCUCCCUCUUUCUUCCCUAUUUUUUUUUUUUAACUUGGCUACGGAACAUUAGGUUUGACGAAGGGAAAGCGAUUUAACAUCUUUUAACUGAGGGAGGUUGAUUUUCAUUUGCGACCAAAUGGCUCCUUUUUACCUUUUUAGCUCCUGGAAGAGUAAAAAGUGAGAGGUCAGCCCUGCGUCACCAUGGCAACCCAGGCAGCUCAGGCCUGGAGCAGAUGAAGGGAGGUGAUAAUGGCAGGGAAGUUUCUCCCCCUUCCUUGGCAUUUUCUCCUCAUUCAGGGAAUGUUCCUGGAUGCAUGAAAACAAUUAUGUCUUUUUAGAAAUAUAAGUUUUAAAAUAUGGCUGUUAAUUACGGCCCAGGGCUCCGACCAUUCACAGAUCUUUCGGGGGUUUUGUUUGCAGUUGUGACCAUCUUUAUCCUCAUCAGUGACCACAGGGGCUUGAAUCACACCCGCGAGAUCGUGCAUGCCCCCACCCUGGCCAAAUCUGUCCUUCAAUCCAAGAGCCUACCUGCUGGCGUCCUGAAAGCCUGAAAUAUUAAUGAAGAGACAAUCAACCUCAGCACAUGAGACCUUAUUGGAGCCUCUCUGCAAAGAAAGUCUUGAUGCCAUUCCAGUUCAGGGACCUCAAAGAAUAAAGAGGAAAAGAGAACUUGAAAUGACAGACUUGCUAGAAAGCCAGAUUCAACCCUGCAGGAGUUGCCUGGGCCAGGGAAGGAAGGAAUGUCCACGAUCUCUGAGCUCAUGGACUCACACGUCCACUUCAUUCAGCCCAAUGUGGUCCUUGGUGCAUGGAGGCCAUGGUGACUAUGGCUUCACACCUGAGGGUGCCAGACGCCAUCAUGGUGACCCCAGAUCCUUCAAGCUUCCUAGUCCUGUGCGAGGAGGAGGAGGAGGAGGAGGAGGAGGAGCCGAGGCCGUCUCAGGCUUCCAGCAGGUGCGGAGGAGGCCAUCUCACACUUCGCAUCCUGAGCCCGCGUUUCCCUUCCAUUUAUUUCCGUGGCGCUGGCUGUGUGUGCAGCGAGCCGUGCUGCGGCAGAGAUACCCCAGAGAAAGAGGAAACCCGUGGAGCUAUUUUUCACCAUUACAUACUUCACUUCCUAAUAAAUGAGAUCCAGAGCAUGCAAACAGCCAGUCUUGUAGAUCAUCAUCUUAGGGAAAAUCACAGACCUAACGCAGCACAAAGUAAAAAAUAAAUGAACUCCAAGGAGAGUCCUUCUGAUGAAAUUUGAGACCAUAACUCCCUUCCCAUAGCUUUCUAUCCCUCUCCAGAAGUUUUUGUGCCUCAGAGAAGUAUAUUGGCUCUAAGGGUGGUUUAAAAAAAAUAUCAAUAAAAAAAGUGCUAGAUCUUUCUCUGUCUUCAUGCCAGCUUAUUUUCACCCCUAGAAAGGUUUGUAUGGAAGAGUAGAGAAGAACUCAUUGAGACCAAGCUGUGCGUUACCGGAUUCAAUCCCUGGAGAUCCCUCAUUAGUAAGUGGCAUGAAAUAUAAGGGUUUUAUCAGCUACCUGUGCUGAACAGAACAUCAGACCGUGCAUUUCAGGACUGCCACAGCACUCAGGCAAGAAAGAGGUCUGCACUGGGGAGCUGGGGUGCCCUAGUGCCUUGGCUUCCGAUGGUCUCUUCCAGUCGCUGUGCUUUUCUUUCGUCCUCUGGCAGAAAAGCUCCACAUUUGGAUGCAACCCGGAGUGUUGAGGUCACCAGCACCGUUUGCUGUGUCAACUAAGGGAAUCAGUGGACAGUAAUACAAUCUCUCCACGUCCACCGGGGAAUAUAAUAUUUCACACAGAAAAUAACAAAACACUCCCAGGGCCCCGGGCCAAUAUCCUGAAGUUGUUUGAGGUGAAAGAAAAUAACUGUCAUUUGGACAAAAGAACUUCGACUCUUUAGUAAAUUUGUUGCUGCCUUUUGUCUUACACCAUCUGAGUAUUUAUUCAGAUCCAUUCCAGGUGAGGAGGCGGCACUGCUCUCCCACCCAAACGUGUGAGAUUUCUUUUAUCCACUUUUCUGUUGGACCUAACGUCAUGUGAGAUGAUAAAUUAGUCUUGCCAAAGGCUUGCAAUUUUCAAGUGUAUUUUAAAACUUUACCUGGUGGAUCUCUAAGCCUCUAGAAAGCUCACAGUGCCUUUCCCCCCCACAAGCAGGGAUGACAGGGAUAGCAGGAGCAGCAAAGGUUAUCUCUGAUCACCUUCACCAAGCCACCCUAUCUCUCUCAGGCCAUUUUGAUAGUCAUUGUGAAGCUGAAAAGUACAGAAGGAAAAUUUUUAAAGCUAUUAUUUAAGAAACUGGGUUCAAGUCUUUUUGAGUUCAGAGAAGUCAUCUUACUGUUCCGAGUUCCACUCUUACAUAUGAAAUGGGAAAAUAAUAUUUUCUCUAUGUAGGUCUUGGGUUUGUCAGGACAAAGACAUGGGCAGAAACUGUUUUGUUGCUUCUGAGUGUAGAGAGAGACAUAACAUGCCCCAGUGUUCCCUUUGGUUUGGUGGAGUCACAUGACUUCCAGCCAAUGGAAUGUAAGUGGAAGAAUGUGACCGAUAAAAAUCUAAAUGAUCCAAUGACACUCUACAAAAAAGACACCUGCACUCGAAUGUUUAUAGCAGCACAAUUCAUAAUUGCAAGGCUGUGGAAACAGCCCAAGUGCCUAUCAAUCCAAGAAUGGAUUAAUAAAAUGUGGUAUAUGUAUACCAUGGAGUACUAUUCAGCUCUAAGAAACAAUGGUGAUAUAGCACAUCUUAUAUUUUCCUGGUUAGAUCUGGAACCCAUACUACUAAGUGAAGUAUCCCAAGAAUGGAAAAACAAGCACAAGAUAUAUUCUCCAGCAAACUGGUAUUAACUGAGUAGCACCUAAGUGGACACAUA